GGAGAUGCAGUUAAAGACUUGAUGCUUCGCUUUCUGGGUGAAAAAGCUGCAGCAAAGAGACAAGUCCUAAAUGCCGACUCAGUGGAACAAUCUUUUGUUGGAUUGAAACAGCUAAUCAGCUGCAGAAACUGGAGGGCAGCAGUGGACCUGUGCGGACGUCUCCUCACAGCCCACGGCCAGGGCUACGGCAAGAGCGGGCUGCUCACCAGCCACACGACAGAUUCACUGCAGCUCUGGUUUGUCAGGCUGGCACUACUAGUGAAGUUGGGCCUUUUCCAGAAUGCUGAGAUGGAAUUUGAACCCUUCGGAAAUCUUGAUCAGCCAGAUCUUUAUUACGAGUACUACCCGCACGUGUACCCUGGGCGCAGGGCACAGCCGUCUGCCUUCACUGGCACCUCAGCAUCUGCAGGGAGCAUCCCGGUCCCAGGA
RNAcentral lists this unclassified non-coding RNA (429 nucleotides) under Homo sapiens (human). Its description in RNAcentral is "trafficking protein particle complex subunit 12 (ENSG00000274891.3)". The record is from RNAcentral. Lineage: Eukaryota; Metazoa; Chordata; Mammalia; Primates; Hominidae.